GUGAAUCAUCGAAUCUUUGAACGCAAAUUGCACUUCCUGGUAUCCCGGGAAGUAUGCCUGUUCGAGGGUCAGUAUUACCAAAAAAUCGGUUUGGUUGCAAAUUGUGACGUUUCCGGCGUUUGGGCUUAUCUUACCUUUUUUGGUUCAGCGGCUUAAAAUUGACCUUUUUUGCGCCUUUUUAGACGUACAUAAAUUUUUUUUUAUUCGUCUAUUCUUAAUGCCAAACUCUUAUUAUCUGCGAUCACAUCUUGUUGCUUCGUUUCCAUAAA
Molecule: unclassified non-coding RNA, 269 nt
Filed under: Rhizophagus sp. (in: glomeromycetes)
Lineage: Eukaryota; Fungi; Glomeromycota; Glomeromycetes; Glomerales; Glomeraceae
Description: partial contains 5.8S ribosomal RNA and internal transcribed spacer 2
Rfam family: 5.8S ribosomal RNA (bases 1-71)
Source: RNAcentral